RNAcentral lists this long non-coding RNA (1851 nucleotides) under Gossypium raimondii (Peruvian cotton). Its description in RNAcentral is "long non-coding RNA (GRAI_LNC005242)". Lineage: Eukaryota; Viridiplantae; Streptophyta; Magnoliopsida; Malvales; Malvaceae. The record is from RNAcentral.
AACAAAUGAAAUAAAAGAAUAGAAAAAGAGAAGAAGAACAGAAAAGAAACAGAGAAAGAGACGAAAACAGGGGAAGGGAAAGAAAAGAAAGGGGGAAAAUUGAGAUUUUGAAGCUUGAAGUUUAAUAGGUAAGCUAAAUCAAGUCAUUUUCUCAUAAAUUUGAUGUUUUUGGAAUCCUAGAGUGAAAUACUCUUGGAUUUAAGUUAAAAAUUUGAAAAAUAAUAGAUUUUUGAGUAGGGUUUAUGUUGAAUAAAUGAUGGAAUUGAGGGUUUAUUUGAUAGAAUUUCUAGUUAGAAUUGAUAAAGGGGGUUAAAUUGUAAAGUAAGCUAUAAAUUUUGAAUUUUAGGGAUUAAAUUGAAAUAAUUUCGAAAUUAUGAAAAUAUGAUAAAAAUUAGAUAGUUAAAUGUGAGUUUGGUAGGAAAUUAAGUAGUAAAAAGGUAUGAAUUGAGAAAGAAAAAUAUAUAGGUUAGUUAGGAUUAAAUUAGAAUUAAAGUAAAAGUUAGAUAAAAAUUUCAGCAAUUAAAUUGUUUUGUGCUAAUGAUUGUGAAAUUAUUUUAAUUGUUCGUAGCUAAUAUCGAGCCUGAAGCAUCGGCCCAAAAAGGAAAAGAAAAGAUCGUCGAGGAUUAAAUCCGAAGAGAAUUCCGGUUUGUAUUACUAUAAUUCAAAUCUAUUUAUUAUUAAUUGUUAUAUUUUAAUUAAAAUGCAUGGUAAGUAAAAUUAGGUAAGCAAUGGAAAUGAUAAUAGUGAUUUGAAUUGAAUGAUGGAAGUAUGUGAGUAUUUGAAAUGUAUAUUGAUUAAAAAGUAAUUAGUGGUUUGAAUUUGAUUGGAAAAUGAAUUUAAGAUGUGAAUUAAAUAAAGUGAAUUAAUUUAUGAAUAUGUGUGAAAAUGUGAAUUGUGUAUUGAUUGAAAAGUGGUUUGAAUUGAAUUGAAAUAUGAUUAUAUGUGAUUGUUAAUUGAUUAGAAAGUGGAAAAGUGAUCUUGAAUUGGAAAAGAAAGUGAAUUGAGAAUUUGAAUACCCUAUUAACUAGUCGGGCUAAGUCGGAUAUAGUUGGCAUGUCAUAGGAUUUGGAAGAGUACGGGAUUUAUCGGCUUUGCCGAUCAGGCACUUUAUGUGUCGUAUCUCAGGCACUUUAUGUGUCGUAUCAGACAUCUCGUGUGUCGUUUCAGGUACUUAUGUGUCGUAUACUGAUCAGGUUACCAUUUUAGGCACAAUGUGCUGUACUGGUGUGUUUGGGUUGGAAUCCGUGUAUCCGUCAUAGUCUGGAUUUGUUAAUAGGGUGAAUAAUUGAAAUGAGAAAAUCAAAUGAAUUUGAUCGAUUGUGGUAUUGAAUAUGAGAAAAUUUAAAAUUGCGGAUUGAAAUUGAUAUUGAAAAUGAAAGGCAUGAAUUUAAUGUUUAUGUAGUGAUUGAAAUUGCUACAUGUGAUAUGUGAUUGAGAUUGAAGAAUAGAUAAAAAUUGUAUUGUUAUUGUCAAAUAAUGAAAGUUUAUGAAUUAAUUGAUAUUUAACAAAUCGGAUAGUUAUAUGCUCGGUAAUUAUAAUUCUUUAUUGCUAUUAUAAUUUGAAUUAUGGUAACACCACUGAGUAUAAAAUACUCAGCGUACGGUUGUUUCCGUGUGCAGGUUGAAAAAAGGGUCAGAGUCUCGGUCCAGCAUCCAGGUCAAUCCCGACUCCUGCAUAGAGAUUCGGUGAUGUUUUUUUCCUUAAAUGAAAGUGGCAUGUACAUAAGAAUGAUAAUGGUUAUUUUGGUAUGUUAUAUAAUUUUGUUGUAAAGAAAGGUAUUUGAUGUUUUGAUGAUUAUAUUAGUAAAAUGGUAGAAGUUAUUUAUAACAUUGGUAUUGAGUUGAAAUGGC